This 71-nucleotide transfer RNA is filed under the name Glycomyces artemisiae. RNAcentral describes it as "tRNA-Gly". It matches the Rfam family "tRNA". From Rfam's summary of the family: Transfer RNA (tRNA) molecules are approximately 80 nucleotides in length. Lineage: Bacteria; Bacillati; Actinomycetota; Actinomycetes; Glycomycetales; Glycomycetaceae. The record is from RNAcentral.
GCGGGUGUAGUUCAUUGGUAGAAUGCGACCUUCCCAAUGUUGAGAGGCGAGUUCGAUUCUCGUCACCCGCU